Molecule: long non-coding RNA, 241 nt
Filed under: Gossypium barbadense (sea-island cotton)
Lineage: Eukaryota; Viridiplantae; Streptophyta; Magnoliopsida; Malvales; Malvaceae
Description: long non-coding RNA (GBAR_LNC001472)
Source: RNAcentral
GCAACAACAUCAAGUCGGCCCGAAAGUAAUGAUCCCGAAUCAUUAAAGGAUAUUUCUUACAUACUUUAUCGACAGUCACACAUUUGCCUAACGGAUUCGACACUCUAAUCAUAAAUUCUGUGUUCUCAACAGGUAUAUUCAUACUAGACACCAAUUUCAUGCACACAUAUGAAUGAGUAGAACCGGGAUCAAUCAAAGCAAUAACAUUAACAUUAUAGAGAGAAAAUGUACCGGUAAUCAC